Non-coding RNA from Cryphonectria parasitica EP155, 91 nucleotides. The record is from the annotation of a RefSeq genome assembly. NCBI's taxonomy places the organism in Eukaryota, Fungi, Ascomycota, Sordariomycetes, Diaporthales, Cryphonectriaceae.
GCAGGGUUGGAGUAGUAGUUAACUUGUCUGAUCCCCAUAGGCACUGUCCCUUGGCUAUCAGGAGACACGGGUGCAAAUCCCGUACUCUGCA